RNAcentral lists this non-coding RNA (203 nucleotides) under Leptotrichia sp. oral taxon 847. Its description in RNAcentral is "6S RNA". It matches the Rfam family "6S / SsrS RNA". Rfam says of the family: E. coli 6S RNA was the first non coding RNA to be sequenced, but its function was unknown until recently. Lineage: Bacteria; Fusobacteriati; Fusobacteriota; Fusobacteriia; Fusobacteriales; Leptotrichiaceae. The record is from RNAcentral.
AAAUUUCUGGUCUAUUCGUUACUAAUUAAUUGUUUUUGGGCUUUACUCCUUUUUUAAUGGGGUCAUCUCUUUAUAAAUUGUUUCAGAAAAAUCACGGCGGUAAGAAAACUUAGCACGGAUCCUGUACUUUUGUAAAUAUGACUACCACCUGUAACAUUUACAGGCAACCAAAAAUCAAAUUAGAACGGUAGACUGGAUUUUUU